Molecule: ribosomal RNA, 300 nt
Filed under: uncultured Legionella sp.
Lineage: Bacteria; Pseudomonadati; Pseudomonadota; Gammaproteobacteria; Legionellales; Legionellaceae
Description: bacterial SSU rRNA
Rfam family: Bacterial small subunit ribosomal RNA
Source: RNAcentral
CACAUAAGAAGCACCGGCUAACUCCGUGCCAGCAGCCGCGGUAAUACGGAGGGUGCGAGCGUUAAUCGGAAUUACUGGGCGUAAAGGGUGCGUAGGUGGUUGAUUAAGUUAUCUGUGAAAUUCCUGGGCUUAACCUGGGACGGUCAGAUAAUACUGGUUGACUCGAGUAUGGGAGAGGGUAGUGGAAUUUCCGGUGUAGCGGUGAAAUGCGUAGAGAUCGGAAGGAACACCAGUGGCGAAGGCGGCUACCUGGCCUAAUACUGACACUGAGGCACGAAAGCGUGGGGAGCAAACAGGAUU